RNAcentral lists this long non-coding RNA (276 nucleotides) under Trifolium pratense (red clover). RNAcentral's name for it is "long non-coding RNA (TPRA_LNC000030)". Lineage: Eukaryota; Viridiplantae; Streptophyta; Magnoliopsida; Fabales; Fabaceae. The record is from RNAcentral.
GAUCAAUAGAGGCUUUUCGCCGUCGUUCGAAGGCUGAACCGUGACGCUUACGGGACGCAGAUCGCGAGAGGAUCCUCUUUCCAUGGCCAUUUUCCAAGCGAACACAGACAGCAUCCCUGCACUCGCGAUGACAGACAUCGCGACACCCUCCUGUAUCCUCCAUAACCUCUGGUUUCGAACGUCGAAGUGCCGAAUCAUAACGCAGUCGAGAAGAGGACAUGGAUCGCGCAAUAUAGCUGUUUCCAGAUCGAUGGAGCGUACGUGAUCCUCUGUAAC